Molecule: long non-coding RNA, 552 nt
Organism: Lagenorhynchus albirostris (white-beaked dolphin)
Lineage: Eukaryota; Metazoa; Chordata; Mammalia; Artiodactyla; Delphinidae
Exons: 2
Source: RefSeq, a predicted model, not a curated record
GUAGCAGCAGAGGCAGGGCACGGCGAGGGAGAGUGCGGCCAGCGCGGCCCAGCGCGCGGCGGGGCGCGGGUGGCCCGGCUCGCAGGCGCACGGGUCCGAGAAGUCGCCCUCGGCAUCCGACAGGCAGUGGUAGAGCAAGCUCUCGGCGCACCACAGGCAGCUGAGACGGCGCACCAGCCGGCGACCCGGGUCCGGGGCCUCGGCGCAGCGGCCGCCGCGCCCGUCGGCGCGACGGCGGAAGAGCGCGCGGCAGUGCACGCAGCGCGCCGCCUCCUCCGCCUCCGGGGAGGCCUUGCUCACCAACCUACAGAACAUCAAACCAACCUCCCUUCUCAGAAGCCCUCUCCCUUGGCUGUCAGCUGCCUUCCUGCCUCCUUCCCACCACCACACCUUUACUGGGGCAGUUCCACCCACCUGGAAUGUGUUCCUUCCCAUCCAAACCAAGCUCUGUCCUUUACGAGCUUCUCAGACCCUUGGUUUCCUUUCUGUAACUUGGGAAUAAUUCCCACCUCAUCCGAUUACUAUCUUCAAUAAACAUUCAUUGAGCACCCA